RNAcentral lists this unclassified non-coding RNA (1608 nucleotides) under Leishmania donovani. RNAcentral's name for it is "gene:LdHU3.24.0180(CDS-product:hypothetical_prote in_conserved)". The record is from RNAcentral. Lineage: Eukaryota; Euglenozoa; Kinetoplastea; Trypanosomatida; Trypanosomatidae.
GCGACGCGCGCCUUUGCGGCUGUCAACCACUUCGUCUAGCGCAGCAUUCGAAGAUCAAUCGCCCCGUCCACAAACAAAAAAGAGGGGUUGUUUUUUUUCCGCAGAAGAGCUGCAUCUUCUUGUCACCGAUCGUGCCUCGGUUGAGCUCAUUGGUACCCAUGGCCACUCUUGAAAAACAGUUGCAGUCCAGCACGCUGAGCAAGCAGUGCAGGGCAGAUCUGCUCAACCAUGUCGAGGAAGUCGAAACAAGCUCUCGGCGCCUCUCCAAGAAGAUGAUCACGCUCCCGGAUUCCAACCUCCCAUCCGCGGUCACGAUGCCGACCGACAACUCCGUGAAGCGUGGCAUUCGCGCCGCCACCGCCGGCGCUAACACGGAGCGGUCGCUGCACUACACUGCAAGAAAGCAGGAGAAGGAUGAGAUGGUUGCCAGCCGGAUCAUCUCUGACAGGAAUCUGAGCGGAACGUACUUCAAAGAUUGCUCGCACAAGUUUGUGAACGGCGCACGCAGCUGGCCUGACCCAUUCCGGUCCUCGCGCAGCCGCACAGCACUUUCGGGCAAAGAUAUGGAUUUUGUCUACCGCUAUGCCGAGGCAGCGACGGGGUCCGCAAUUGAGCGCCCGCAGCCGUCAGACGACGCCUCCGUUGCUGCGACGGCGGCGUACCGCAAGGCGUUCCGGCAGUACAAGGGAAGAGACCCCACCGCGAAGGAGAUGGAGGAGGCAGGCAGGCUGGUGUACGCUUUUGAUGAACACGGCAGCGUUGGGGUGCUUCAGAAGCCACACAGCUGCUACCCUCACACACACAUCUCGGCCGUCAAGACGCACAUCCGCACGUGCCCAAAUCAGGUGUACUUACCGGAAGUGCCUCCUGUGCGUGCCGCACGAAGCGAGUUCCCCGGACCAAUCCCAACGUGGUCGAGCACCAAGCGCACUACCACCAUGGCCACCAAUGGCACGUACCGACCUGGCCACCAUCAGGCCACGAGUCUGAAGCGGGAGGCAAUGAGUACGGUGGUGGGCUCUCGUUGAGCCUCACUUCUUUCGCUCGGUGCACUUACUACUCGAAUCUCGCCACAUGUGGUGCGUAUGCGCGCUAUAGACAGCCUCCUCUGCUGGCGUGCGUGGCUACUGUUCUCUGUGUUGCUGUGGUUACUGUUCAAGGUGAGUGGAUGUACGGUCCUCUUGUGUUCGUUUUUGCUUCUUUUGUCCCCUGUUUUCUUUGUAUCUCCCCCGUCUGGUAGACAGUGCACCACAUGUGUCGAGGAGAACUGAGCCAUCAACGUGAGGUGCUCGCACGCACCAGCCUUCGCCUGCGUGUUUGUGGCUGCGUUUAGACGUCUCUAGCGCCACGCCUCGCGCUGUUCGCCUCUCCUUUCCUAAAGUCCAUGUAUCUUAUGCGUUUUUUUUUUUUGGAGGGGAGGGGGUGGUCUGCAUGUUUCUCGUUUUCUCUGUAUUUGGAGAAUGCAACUUGACGAUGCAGAGGCUUAUGCUCAUGAAAACUGAGCGGUUGCCGUCUCGACAAGCAACCUCCCCAAUAUCCAGUUUCUUGCCCUCCGAACGAGCCGUUUGCGCGGAGGAAUUGAAUGUGUAGACUCGCCAUUGGCCAUCU